AUACUUACCUGGCAGGGGAGAUACCAUGAUCAGGAAGGUCAAUUUCUAGUUCUUGGAAAUCACCACACUAUCUUCUAAAGAGGUUGCACUAGUUUGCAUUCCUACUGGCAAUGUAGAAGCAUUCCUUUUUCUCUUCA
Molecule: small nuclear RNA, 137 nt
Filed under: Carlito syrichta (Philippine tarsier)
Lineage: Eukaryota; Metazoa; Chordata; Mammalia; Primates; Tarsiidae
Description: U1 spliceosomal RNA (ENSTSYG00000024420.2)
Source: RNAcentral